UACGAAGGGGGCUAGCGUUGCUCGGAAUCACUGGGCGUAAAGCGCACGUAGGCGGCUUCUUAAGUCAGGGGUGAAAUCCUGGAGCUCAACUCCAGAACUGCCCUUGAUACUGAGGAGCUCGAGUCCGGGAGAGGUGAGUGGAACUCCGAGUGUAGAGGUGAAAUUCGUAGAUAUUCGGAAGAACACCAGUGGCGAAGGCGGCUCACUGGCCCGGUACUGACGCUGAGGUGCGAAAGCGUGGGGAGCAAACAGG
Molecule: ribosomal RNA, 253 nt
Filed under: uncultured bacterium
Lineage: Bacteria
Description: partial 16S ribosomal RNA
Rfam family: Bacterial small subunit ribosomal RNA
Source: RNAcentral